ACCCAUGAGAUAGUUACUUCAACCAAAUUCAUCUUAUUGGAAAUGUUGAAUUUAUUUCUUUUAACUGUAGUAUCUUGGUGCACAAUUGAUUUAGAAGACAGUGUUUGCUGGUAGACUUGGAGGCUUAUCUGAGCCUUUGAAUUAAUUCAGGUGGACCCGAAUUAAAAUUAUAAGCCACAAUUAAAUUUGAAUAAUAGCGGUAGGGUUUAAAUGACCAAAUUUGCAUUUUAUCUUCUCAGAUUUUAUAUUAUACAUUGGGACCAUUGACAAAAUCAAUGAAAUUAUAAGCCAACGUGCUUCUUAAUUACUAAUGAGGAUCCCAUGUUAUGUGGGUUGUCACAACAAUGUGAAAGUGGGACACUGUUGUGUGACCACUUCAAAAAUUCUCUCGUAAAGGCACCUUAUGAUGGAUUUUGUUGGAAAUAUAAAAGCUUGUUUUGCUAAGCUACUUUGAAGUAAUUUUUUUUAUUGUGAACAUGUGUAGUGGGGUAAGUGUUACUUUCAAUUUAAGUACUUUUUCCAACUUUAACUAACAAAUAAAUAAAAUUUAAGACCAACUUAUUUACUAUUAGUGAACUUACAGUAAAUUAUCAAGCUUAGCCACCAUUCGGUGCUGAUCAGCCGUACUGAGAAUAGUGCUUUA
RNAcentral lists this small RNA (643 nucleotides) under Olea europaea subsp. europaea. The record is from RNAcentral. Lineage: Eukaryota; Viridiplantae; Streptophyta; Magnoliopsida; Lamiales; Oleaceae.